RNAcentral lists this unclassified non-coding RNA (198 nucleotides) under uncultured Sebacinales. RNAcentral describes it as "sequence contains ITS2". Lineage: Eukaryota; Fungi; Basidiomycota; Agaricomycetes; Sebacinales. The record is from RNAcentral.
UAAUCUCACCUCCACAACUUUUUGUGGUCGUGGACCUGGAUGUCGUCGGCUCGCGUCGACCCGUCUGAAAUGUAUGAGUGUAUCCUGCCGUGCAGCGUAUCUGAUGUGAUAAGCAUCUUCAUCAGAGUAAUGCCUCCUUUGGCGCGUCUGUGGUGUGGGCUCUGCGCUUCCAACCGUCCGAAAGGACAAUCCUUGACG